UUCCCAAAGAGUUGCAGUGACAUAGAAA
This 28-nucleotide non-coding RNA is filed under the name Mus musculus (house mouse). The record is from RNAcentral. Lineage: Eukaryota; Metazoa; Chordata; Mammalia; Rodentia; Muridae.